This is a long non-coding RNA of Pelmatolapia mariae (spotted tilapia), 257 nucleotides long. RefSeq lists it as uncharacterized. Lineage: Eukaryota; Metazoa; Chordata; Actinopteri; Cichliformes; Cichlidae. The record is from RefSeq and is a predicted model, not a curated record. The transcript is spliced from 3 exons.
GAAAGACAUCAACUCAGUGACUUGAGAUAUGACUGCACUGUGCUGUUGCUGGUGACUCCAGUUAAUUCUACAAGACAUGCUGUGACAACAGGAGAGAUGAGUCCUCCAUCACAGAUGGUGUGGUCAGUGAAGAUGGUCGCCUGCAGGUUCAAGCUCAUUGCAUCUCCAACCCACAUCCACUGCCACUGUACUUAAGGGAAGUUAAAGACUUUCUUCUGCACCUACAUUUGGAUCACCUGGAUCCAUGACAGUCAUUC